Molecule: ribosomal RNA, 459 nt
Filed under: uncultured bacterium
Lineage: Bacteria
Description: partial 16S ribosomal RNA
Rfam family: Bacterial small subunit ribosomal RNA
Source: RNAcentral
CCUACGGGUGGCAGCAGUGAGGAAUAUUGGUCAAUGGGCGGGAGCCUGAACCAGCCAAGCCGCGUGAGGGAAGAAGGUCCAGCGUAUCGUAAACCUCUUUUGUCAGGGAACAAAGGCGGGCACUCGUCCCCUUCUGAGGGUACCCGAAGAACAAGCAUCGGCUAACUCCGUGCCAGCAGCCGCGGUAAUACGGAGGAUGCGAGCGUUAUCCGGAUUUAUUGGGUUUAAAGGGUGCGCAGGCGGCCUGUCAAGUCAGCGGUAAAAGCCCGGGGCUCAACCCCGGCGAGCCGUUGAAACUGGCGGGCUGGAGUGGGAGAGAAGUAAGCGGAAUGCGCGGUGUAGCGGUGAAAUGCUUAGAUAUCGCGCAGAACCCCGAUUGCGAAGGCAGCGUACCGGAGCCAAACUGACGCUGAGGCACGAAAGCGUGGGUAUCGAACAGGAUUAGAUACCCGUGUAGUC